Non-coding RNA from Triticum aestivum (bread wheat), 119 nucleotides. The record is from Rfam. NCBI's taxonomy places the organism in Eukaryota, Viridiplantae, Streptophyta, Magnoliopsida, Poales, Poaceae.
GUAGUACUCCUUCCGUCUCAAAAUUCUUGUCUUAGAUGUAUCUAAUACUAAAACAUGACUUGAUACAUCCGUAUUUAGACAAAUUUAAGACAAGAAUUUUGGGACGGAGGGAGUACCAA